Molecule: long non-coding RNA, 2074 nt
Organism: Canis lupus familiaris (dog)
Lineage: Eukaryota; Metazoa; Chordata; Mammalia; Carnivora; Canidae
Exons: 3
Source: RefSeq, a predicted model, not a curated record
AGGGAUGAGUAGAUAUUGGUCGAGCAGGGCGGGAAGGAUUUUGGGGAUUUUAGCAAGCCAAAGUUAACAACAGUGGAAACUAGAAAUAUGACUUUAGACCCCUGAAAUGGAAGAAAAUUCUGGCAUGAAGAGAGACAGUUUUUUUCUGGUACACACAGAGGGGUAUGAAGUAAGGAAUGAGUUCUCAGAAGUGGCAACUACAGUAUCCCGUACAAAUCAGUUUGAGAAUCACCAUGUGUUUGAAUAAAGUAAAUAGAGCUGCAAUCAAAAUACCAAAGUCUGUACUCUGGUAAACGAGCUGGAGAAUACAGUCCAGAAAUAAAGAGAGCCAUGGUAUGAGGAUGUUAGACCUUGCAGAUCAUCUCAUCUUGCAGACAAGGAAAUUAAGGACAAGAAAAAUGAAAUGAUUCACUCAAGUCACAGGGAUACCAAACAUUUCAACAAGGAAAAAAGUCUUUUCACCAAAUGGUACUGAGACAACUAGAUAUCUACAAGCAAAAGAAUGAAGAGGGACCCUUACUUUACACCAUACACAAGAAUCAACUCAAAAUGAAUUGAAGACCUUAAUAUAAGGGUUCAAACUAUUAAACCCCUAGAAGAAAACAUAGGUGUAGAUCUUAAUGAAUGUACAUUAAGCGAUGGCUUCUUAGUUAUAUCACCAAAAUAAAAAUCAACCAAAGGAAAAAAAUGUUAAGUGGAACUUUAUAAACAUUUUAAAAAAGAGUAUUUCAAAUGACACUCAAUAAAGUGGGUUUAAUGCAUGUAACAGGAGAAAACAUUUGCAAAUCAUAUAUCUGAGAAGAGUGUGGAAUACAGAAUAUUUAAAGACACCAUUGCAUCUCAGCAAUAAAAACACGGAUAAGCUGAUCAAAACAGGAGCAAAAGACUUAAAUAGAGAUGUUUUUCAAAAAUGAUGUAAAAAUGAUCAAUAAAGUGGUGCCUGGGUGGCUCAGUCAGUUAAGCAUCUGUCUUAGGCUGAGGUCCUUAUCUCAGGGUUCUAGGAUGGAGGUCAGACUCUCUGCUCAGACUCACAGCAGUCUGCUUGUCUCUCUGCCCCUCCUGCUCAUCGUGUUUUCUCUCUUUCAAAUAAAUAAAUAAAAUCUUGCAAAAAAAAAAAAGGUCGAUAAAUACAUAAAGGAUGCAAAACAUCAAUAGUGAUUAGGUAAAUGCAAAUCUAAACCACAAUAAAAUACCAUGUUACACUCUCUAGAAUGGUUAGAAUCAAAAAGACAGACAUCAUGCUUUGGUGAGGAUGUGAAGUUGGAACCCUCAAACAUUGCUGGAGGACAUGUAAACUGUGCAGCUGCUUUUGAAAACAGUUUGGCAAUUGCUUAAAAAGUUAAAUAUAAAGUUAUCAUAUAACCCAGCAAUUUCAUUCCCAAAAGAAUUGAAAAACAUGUUUCUACAAAGACUUUUACAGAAAUGUUCAUAAUAGCAUUAUUCAUAAUAGUUAAUAAAAUGAAAAUGACCUAAAUGUCUAUCAACUUAUGGACAGACAGGAUGUGGUAUAUCCAUUCAAUGGACUAGUCUUCAGCAAUGUCCAUUAAUUGAAGGAUAAAAACUGAGAUGUAUUAUCCAGCAAUGAAAAGGAAUGAGAUACUGACAUAUGCAUUGAAAGUGAAAAGAAUUCCAUAUUGAUACAUAGCCCAACAUGGAUGGACUUUAAAAACAUUGUAAGUGAAGAGUAAGUGAAAGAAGACAGUUACCAAAGAUCAUUGAUUGUAUAAUUCCAUUUAUAUGAAAUGUCCAGAAGAAGCAAAUGCAUAAAAACGGACGUAGAUUAGUGCUUGACAGGGGCUAGAGGGAAGGGGGAAAUGAAGCCUGCUUCUGUGUAGGGAGUUUCUUUUUGGGGUGUCUAAAUAUUACAGAAUUACAUAAGGUAGUGAUUUUUGCACACGCUAUGACUAUACUAAAGAACACUGAAUUAUACACUUUAAAAGGUUUAAUUUUAUGUGACAUGAAUUAUGUCUCAAUAAAGAUAUUAUUAAAAAAUAUUGAUGGCUGUCUGUAAACCUUGCCAGGAAAUACAAUGCAUUCAGAAUAGGUCCUCAAAUUUUUCAUAAACAUUUUUCAU